Molecule: ribosomal RNA, 208 nt
Filed under: uncultured bacterium
Lineage: Bacteria
Description: partial 16S ribosomal RNA
Rfam family: Bacterial small subunit ribosomal RNA
Source: RNAcentral
CUUGUAGGCGGUUGAUUAAGUUAGAGGUGAAAUCCCAGGGCUUAACCCUGGAAUUGCCUUUAAGACUGGUCAACUUGAGCGCGAUAGAGGGUGGCGGAAUUCCAAGUGUAGAGGUGAAAUUCGUAGAUAUUUGGAGGAACACCAGUGGCGAAAGCGGCCACCUAGAUCGUUGCUGACGCUGAGGAGCGAAAGCGUGGGGAGCAAAACA